RNAcentral lists this ribosomal RNA (253 nucleotides) under uncultured bacterium. RNAcentral describes it as "partial 16S ribosomal RNA". It matches the Rfam family "Bacterial small subunit ribosomal RNA", at positions 524 to 776 of the family's 1533-position model. The record is from RNAcentral.
UACGGAGGAGGCAAGCGUUAUCCGGAAUUAUUGGGCGUAAAGCGUCCGCAGGUGGCACGUCAAGUCUGCUGUGAAAGACCGGGGCUUAACCCCAGAAAUGCAGUGGAAACUGAAGUGCUAGAGUGCAGUAGGGGUAGAGGGAAUUCCCGGUGUAGCGGUGAAAUGCGUAGAGAUCGGGAAGAACAUCGGUGGCGAAAGCGCUCUGCUGGGCUGCCACUGACACUCAGGGACGAAAGCUAGGGGAGCGAAUGGG